CAAACCCAAAAGAUACAAAACAGCCGACGGAGCUGCGCUGCCUGGCCGUCUCAAAAUUUGCACCAGCAAAUAUCCAAAUAAAUUAGCCGAGUGUCAGAGUGAAGUGCGAGUGAGCGUGUCGCAACGCUGAAAAAGUGUAUUCUUUUUGCGCUCUGCCCCUGGGGUUAAAAAUGCAAUAGAGAGCCAAGAUCCAAAGGCAUUCCAAACGCUGCGAUACAGAUACGAAACCGAGAAACACCGAAUACCGCCACAGUGCACAGUGCAAAAGUGAAAAGGACUCGGCCGCCAGGAUAUACACACACAAAAGUACCGCAUCCCGUUUUUCCGUGAGUGCAACCAAACACGCAUACGUACACACACACACACUCUCUCGCUCGGCUUUCAACAUGGCGGAUGUCCUGGAGAAAAGCUCGGCGCUGGAUGCUGUGCCAGCACUAGGCGACACCCAUUCCCAAUCCCAGGCCCAGUCGCACCAGCAGCUGCAACAGGAAGCUGCGCCGCCACAGCAACAAUUGCAACAGCAACAACCGCAGCAGCAGCAGCCACAGAAGCCCGCACCUGCGAGGGCCAAUCAGGAGCAGAAAGAGGGUGACAACGACAGCGGCGUGGACGAAUCCACUCAGGAGAAGGAUCGAAACGGACCCAAUUCGCCCAGUUCACCGGUGAAGACACCCACAUCGACAUCGUCGAAGCCGGGCACGUCCCGCCCACCGAGUGCCACGCCCUCGAACAAAUCGGCACCCAAGUCGCGCAGCGCCUCAAAGAACCGCUUGCUCCUUAAGACCCCAGAGCCCGAGCCAGUAAAGAAAGUUCCAAUGAACAAGGUACAGGUCGGACAUGCGCCUUCGCCCAACCUGAAGGCGGUUCGCUCCAAAAUUGGAUCCCUGGACAAUGCCACCUACAAGCCGGGCGGUGGCCACGUUAAGAUCGAGUCCAAGAAGAUCGAAAUCAAGGCGGCGCCCCGCAUCGAGGCCAAGAACGACAAGUAUGCGCCCAAGGGCGGCGAAAAGAAGAUAGUAACAACAAAGUUGCAGUGGAACGCAAAGUCGAAAAUCGGCUCGUUGGAGAACGCCGCCCACAAGCCCGGAGGCGGGGACAAGAAGAUCGAGACCCUGAAGAUGGACUUCAACAACAAGGCCAAGUCGAAGGUCAACUCCAAGGACAACGUGAAGCACCAGCCCGGCGGCGGCGACAUCAAGGAUUACAACCCCAAGGAUAUCCAAACGCAAAAAAUAGAAAUUAAGGCACAAAGCAAAGUUGGCUCUUUGGAUAAUGUAAAGCACAAGCCCGGUGGCGGUGAAAAGAAGAUUUUCGAUGAUAAGGAUUAUUUGAAAAAUGUUGAACACUCUGUUGCACUGACAACACCACCAACACAGGAAUAUAUAUACACGUUUUAUUAGGCUAGUCAUACGAAACUAAGUGCAUUAAAUUCGAAAUUCGUAUACAUGUUACGUCCAUUAGAGUUAUUUAAAGCCUAUUACGAGUGCUACUGCAGCAUAGUAUACUGGAGGUCCGAAUGCGACGCUAUUUUAAGCACUCUAGAAACAUUCUAUCCGAUCCGAUUCGAUUUGAUCACGAUCACGAUCACGCAGCCCCAGUCCACUACCAUCCAUGACGGCUUCUGGCGCUGAUGAAAAUUUAAAUCAACAAAGCUAAAUGCCCGAAAUGCCCGAAAUGCAUGUCGAGCCGAUAUCUUUUCCUUGCAAGCUAAGAUAGCCAAGAUUGAAAGCGAAACGAACAUUGAACCAGCUAAUUUGAAAUGUACUAUCUAAGCAAAAAGCUACACAAAAAGAAAAAGUUAUGCAAUGAUUUCCACACACCCUCACAAUCCAGUAAUAAGACCCGAAAACUCGAUAGAGGUGCAAGCACGCAGACUGCGAAUGCAGAUGCAGAUUCAUCUACACCACCACCACCCCACAUAGAAGCGGUAUUUGGUAUACAGAUCGAAGUAUAUUGACUAGUUGAGCAAUGCACUCUUUAUCGUCAGAUACCAGACGUAAUUAUAUAUCUCAAUAUAUUACAAGAAAUUCAUAUAUACAUAAAAUAUAUAUAUACGUAUACAUAAAAGUAUCUAAAUAUUUAAGCAAAUUAUACAAGAUUCGUACGAACAAACCGUGUGCUUAGUUGAAAAUGUUGAACGACACCCCAUUACACUCGACGUCUAAAUGUUAUACGACUAAGAUAAUGCGACCCGAUGAUAUGUGAACCGUUUAGAUACUUUUGCGACGAACAAAGCCACACAGAACAGAACAGUACCGAACCGAACCGAACCGAACAGAUAAUACCACGUAUAAGCAUAUUUUUACUAUUAUUAAUUUGUAUCUUAUUAGUCAAGCGCAUCAUUCUCACGAUUUAUUUACACCCUGUUACAAAAUGUAAGAACAAUGGCAAAAUUUAAGCAUAAUAAACAAACAAAAAAACGUUUUUUCAUUUAUUAAA
Drosophila kikkawai is the source of this 2439-nucleotide non-coding RNA. Lineage: Eukaryota; Metazoa; Arthropoda; Insecta; Diptera; Drosophilidae. The record is from RefSeq and is a predicted model, not a curated record.